GACGAACGCUGGCGGCGUGCUUAACACAUGCAAGUCGAACGAGAAUCUGUGGAAAGAGGAUUCGUCCAAUUGAAGCAGAGGACAGUGGCGGACGGGUGAGUAACGCGUGAGGAACCUGCCUUUCAGAGGGGGACAACAGUUGGAAACGACUGCUAAUACCGCAUGACACAUCGGGGUCGCAUGGCUCUGAUGUCAAAGAUUUAUCGCUGAAGGAUGGCCUCGCGUCUGAUUAGCUAGUUGGUGAGGUAACGGCCCACCAAGGCGACGAUCAGUAGCCGGACUGAGAGGUUGAACGGCCACAUUGGGACUGAGAUACGGCCCAG
This 323-nucleotide ribosomal RNA is filed under the name uncultured bacterium. RNAcentral's name for it is "bacterial SSU rRNA". It matches the Rfam family "Bacterial small subunit ribosomal RNA", at positions 28 to 334 of the family's 1533-position model. The record is from RNAcentral.